Molecule: non-coding RNA, 25 nt
Filed under: Rattus norvegicus (Norway rat)
Lineage: Eukaryota; Metazoa; Chordata; Mammalia; Rodentia; Muridae
Source: RNAcentral
UUAGAUGCUGUCAAACUUUUUAAAU